GUGCUGAAAUGUUCCUCAGGAAAUUCUUUGAAUGUCUUUCUUUAUUGUGAAACUCGCCAAGCCUCUGUGCCUUUAAAUGAUUUCUGUGUUGUUCAUCUCUUCCUUUUUUUCGUUUUCUUUCCCUCUCCGAGCAUUUCCUGUGGGCCUCCUGGCUGCUGCUUCCUUUAGCCUCUCCGUCCUGCUCUGACUUCUCCUUUCUCCAGUCCCUCCCAGCUGGCAGCCCUUCAGAGCCGUAUCCCACAUUUUGCAGUCUGUUGGCCAAGCAUGGCCCCUCAUCUAUAAGGAUGACUCAAGUCCUGCUGCAGUAUCACCAGGAACACUCCUUGUCCCUUGUGCAAAAGAGUGAUUUUCUACUGAAGGAAAACAUAAAAAAAACACUGAAAGACCCAAAGCACAAAAACAAAAGAGGGCGCGAAGGAAUGUAAGAGGAAACAUGUGGCAAUGCACGAUGGGCUUUGAUGCAAAGUUUCUAUUUUUGAAGACACUUAAUAUAGUCCUUAAAAAAAGAAGAAAAAAAGGAAGAAAAAAAAGAAAGAAAAAAAAGUCCUCAUCCUUGCUGUCCUUAAGGACAUCCUGAUUUCACGGGCAGCUGAGCAGGGUGGUCCUCUGAUACCCAACAAUGGCAUUUCACUACCAGAUCCCAGAUAUAUCCUGUUACAGCUGGGAUCAGUCUGUCCCUGAGCAAAACUCUGUCUGCCUAUGCUACAGAACAUGUUUCCUUCUCCAGAGAAAAGGCAACCGAAGCAAAGGUUUCUUGCCAGCAGGAGAGCAGUAUUUUUAGGAAUUUGGAAUCAUGAUUGUAGGAGCUGAAGGAAGUUAAGCCAUACCAGCAUGAGUCCACGCAGGAGCGUAUCAGUUAAAUAACUGGUAAGUACAUGCAGAGAGAUCAAAGUCUCUUUCUCACAUGAAUAAUCAUGAUUCACACGGCUGGGAGGUGCAAAUAAAUGAUUCUACUAGCUAGCUAUCACUUGUUAGGUAGAAAGAAAGCAUUCUUUUACACUUAAAUUAAGGUGUCCCCUUUGUUCCACCAAUGUUUAAAGCACUACCCCGUAGCAAUCCAAUGACAGGUGAAGUAGGAAGAGGAACAACGUGUUCUUGACAGAACAAAUAAGUCACAGUUCCCUCCGACCGUCAGAAAGGGAAGUAAGCACAGCUGGAAUCACAAACAGAACCAGGGGAAAUCACCGCUGCGUUUCCACCUCCCCC
Molecule: long non-coding RNA, 1206 nt
Filed under: Gallus gallus (chicken)
Lineage: Eukaryota; Metazoa; Chordata; Aves; Galliformes; Phasianidae
Description: lncRNA (ENSGALG00010006601.1)
Source: RNAcentral